Molecule: long non-coding RNA, 1145 nt
Filed under: Hordeum vulgare
Lineage: Eukaryota; Viridiplantae; Streptophyta; Magnoliopsida; Poales; Poaceae
Description: long non-coding RNA (HVUL_LNC011998)
Source: RNAcentral
CGUAAAUUUUCAAGACGUUUGGAGAACUUUGAUUUCUGCACAAAAAUAACACCAAGGCAAUUCUGUUGAAAACAACGUCAGUCCAGGUUAGUUCCAUUCAAAUCAUGCAAAUUAGAGUCCAAAACAAGGGCAAAAGAGUUUGGAAAAGUAGAUACAACGGAGACGUAUCACUCACCCAUAUCAUGGAAGCUUUUCAAGACCCUCUGUUCAAGGUCCGCCUGCGGACAACAACCACCUUUAAAGGAUACUAUCCAUCCCUUCUAAGAAUCAUAGGAGAAAUUUCACAGCUAGAAGCAGGGCGGACAUCAAGUCACCCAUGGAAGACCAAAGAGGAAAAGUUGCUUUGAAAUAUGUUGUUGAAAACAAUAGUUACUUGUAACAGUUGCCUUGGCACCAUUAAUUAUAAAAAUUCCUAACAAAUAUUUUUAUAUACUCUUUUAUAGUAUUUUUUAAUAUAUAUGUUUCUUGCUUAGUGGCGCCAAAGGGUAGAUUUGUUCAAUAAAUAUCAGGUGCGAUCGGCUAAUAGACCGGCGACUAGGAUGAAAAUACCGCCCCAAGCACUACCCCGUCACUACUUUUUAAGUGUUUGGUUUCUCAGAUAUUGCUUUAUAUGCAUUGGUUCUGAAUUAUGUCUUGGGGAAAUAAUUGGGUUGCCCCACUCCUAUGGUUACCCCCUUACGUUGUGCUAGUUCGGCUAAAGGGGUAAAGGGAGAACCACCGCGAUUGUGUUCCCAGCUGGCCUGACUAAGAUACCUCAGUGGAGAAAACCGAAAACCGACUGUCAUAAUAAGUGAGAACUCGUCUGCAAUCCAAACUUAAGCACUAAAGAACGAUGGAGGUUUUAUUCCGUGUCAUACGGAGGGAUUUGUACGUUUGCAAACCUUGUGGUAACUAUUUGAAAAUCCGGCUUAUUCGACUAGCACAAAAAACUGGGGACGUAACCACCCCCCGAAUUCAAGCUCAUAAGGCUAAGUGAAAGCACGAAAGACACAUAGUCUAAUUGCCUCAUUUCCUUCACACAGUACCGUCUCUGGGCACCAAUAUAUCGGCUAAGGGUUACAGUAUGGAUGUCGAAACACCCUUUGUAGUUUCUACAUGGGGGCCGAAGCCAACGAUGGGAAACUUUCAGAUUAAAUGGCCAAACA